UGCCAGCAGCCGAGCUAAUACGAAGGGUGCUAGCGUUAAUCGGAAUUACUGGGCGUAAAGAGCGUGUAGGCGGACUGUUAAGUCUGAUGUGAAAGCCCGGGGCUCAACCCCGGAAGUGCAUUGGAUACUGGCAGUCUUGAGUAUGGGAGAGGAAAGUGGAAUUCCGAGUGUAGGAGUGAAAUCCGUAGAUAUUCGGAGGAACACCAGUGGCGAAGGCGGCUAACUGGACUGAUACUGACGCUGAGGUGCGAAAGUGUGGGGAGCGAACAGGAUUAGAUA
Molecule: ribosomal RNA, 279 nt
Filed under: uncultured bacterium
Lineage: Bacteria
Description: partial 16S ribosomal RNA
Rfam family: Bacterial small subunit ribosomal RNA
Source: RNAcentral